GCCCCUGUGGUGGAAUUGGUAGACGCGCUGGAUUCAAAAUCCAGUUUCCUUUGGAAGUGUCGGUUCGAGUCCGACUGGGGGCACCA
RNAcentral lists this transfer RNA (86 nucleotides) under Kordiimonadaceae bacterium. RNAcentral's name for it is "tRNA-Leu". It matches the Rfam family "tRNA". From Rfam's summary of the family: Transfer RNA (tRNA) molecules are approximately 80 nucleotides in length. Their secondary structure includes four short double-helical elements and three loops (D, anti-codon, and T loops). Lineage: Bacteria; Pseudomonadati; Pseudomonadota; Alphaproteobacteria; Kordiimonadales; Kordiimonadaceae. The record is from RNAcentral.